ACGGGUGUAGCUCAAUUGGUAGAGUAGUGGUCUCCAAAACCAUUGGUUGGGAGUUCGAGUCUCUCCUCCCGUGCAA
This 76-nucleotide transfer RNA is filed under the name Bacteroidetes bacterium GWE2_42_24. RNAcentral describes it as "tRNA-Trp". It matches the Rfam family "tRNA". From Rfam's summary of the family: Transfer RNA (tRNA) molecules are approximately 80 nucleotides in length. The record is from RNAcentral. Lineage: Bacteria; Pseudomonadati; Bacteroidota. RNAcentral also lists the same sequence under 3 other names.